CUACGGGCGGCUCCAGUGGGAAAUAUUGCACAAUGGGCGCAAGCCUGAUGCAGCCAUGCCGCGUGUAUGAAGAAGGCCUUCGGGUUGUAAAGUACUUUCAGCGGGGAGGAAGGGAGUAAAGUUAAUACCUUUGCUCAUUGACGUUACCCGCAGAAGAAGCACCGGCUAACUCCGUGCCAGCAGCCGCGGUAAUACGGAGGGUGCAAGCGUUAAUCGGAAUUACUGGGCGUAAAGCGCACGCAGGCGGUUUGUUAAGUCAGAUGUGAAAUCCCCGGGCUCAACCUGGGAACUGCAUCUGAUACUGGCAAGCUUGAGUCUCGUAGAGGGGGGUAGAAUUCCAGGUGUAGCGGUGAAAUGCGUAGAGAUCUGGAGGAACACCGGUGGCGAAGGCGGCCCCCUGGACGAAGACUGACGCUCAGGUGCGAAAGCGUGGGGAGCAAACAGGAUUAGAUACCCGUGUAGUC
RNAcentral lists this ribosomal RNA (464 nucleotides) under uncultured bacterium. RNAcentral describes it as "partial 16S ribosomal RNA". It matches the Rfam family "Bacterial small subunit ribosomal RNA", at positions 339 to 795 of the family's 1533-position model. The record is from RNAcentral.